Molecule: ribosomal RNA, 484 nt
Filed under: uncultured bacterium
Lineage: Bacteria
Description: partial 16S ribosomal RNA
Rfam family: Bacterial small subunit ribosomal RNA
Source: RNAcentral
AUUGAACGCUGGCGGCAGGCCUAACACAUGCAAGUCGAGCGGAUGAAGGGAGCUUGCUCCUGGAUUCAGCGGCGGACGGGUGAGUAAUGCCUAGGAAUCUGCCUGGUAGUGGGGGAUAACGUCCGGAAACGGGCGCUAAUACCGCAUACGUCCUGAGGGAGAAAGUGGGGGAUCUUCGGACCUCACGCUAUCAGAUGAGCCUAGGUCGGAUUAGCUAGUUGGUGGGGUAAGGGCCUACCAAGGCGACGAUCCGUAACUGGUCUGAGAGGAUGAUCAGUCACACUGGAACUGAGACACGGUCCAGACUCCUACGGGAGGCAGCAGUGGGGAAUAUUGGACAAUGGGCGAAAGCCUGAUCCAGCCAUGCCGCGUGUGUGAAGAAGGUCUUCGGAUUGUAAAGCACUUUAAGUUGGGAGGAAGGGCAGUAAGUUAAUACCUUGCUGUUUCGACGUUACCAACAGAAUAAGCACCGGCUAACUUCGUG